Molecule: long non-coding RNA, 668 nt
Organism: Canis lupus familiaris (dog)
Lineage: Eukaryota; Metazoa; Chordata; Mammalia; Carnivora; Canidae
Exons: 4
Source: RefSeq, a predicted model, not a curated record
CAGACCGCAUCCAUGAUGGGUGUGGAUAAGGGCAAAGAUGAACUGGAACCCACAUCUUUCUCCCAGCACCUAAAACCUGGAUUGUGAGGGUGAUAUGCAAGAGAAGCCAGCACCCUUGGCCCUGGAGUUGUAGGCACACUUGGCCCAGGAAUUGGAAAAUCUGAAACAGGAGAUUUAGUGAAAGCUGGAGUCACGGGAAUGCUAGGUGCUUCUCCACACCAAUAAGGAGACACAUUUCUUUCCUUUCAAAUGAGACCCUGUGAUUCAAACAGCCAAUACUUCCAGAUUGUGAGAAACUUGAAGGGGGUAUAGACGUUUCCCUCCUGAAACUGCACCUAGAGAGCUGCCAUGAUGUGUGACACCAGACCUUCUGAACGGUAGUCAAAUAUUUUGCAUGGCUGAGAAGGAAAAAAGUGGUCCAGAGCAGGCUAGAGAGCCAAUUGCAGAAAAGGGUAUCAAGGCAGCUCAGUGACUUCCUCAUGGCUCAGACUGGUAAUGACAGCUGGGACAUGCAGAGCAGAGUGAUGGUGAAGAGCUUCGCUUCUGGAACCACAGAAUCCCUUGGCUUCCCAGAUGGCAAGGAUCUGAAUCGUAACUUCACUACUCAUGAGCUAGGCAACACUGUGAACAUCACCUGGCUCCCCCAGCCCUCCAGCUCUUCAUCUUAU